CUCAAAUGUUAAUUCUUCAAAGAGACACAGUUCUGAAGACUAUGAAAAUAUGGAGGACUCAAAUGCUAAUUCUUCAAAGAGACACAGUUCUGAAGACUAUGAAAAUAUGGAGGAAACAAACAUUCACCAACUUUCUGUGACAGAACCUGAUAAUAAAGAAGAUCAAGACAUCUAUCAAAAUAAUGCAAAUGAGUUUUAAGCAUUCAAAUAAAAUAGAUUGAUCAAU
Bombina bombina (fire-bellied toad) is the source of this 226-nucleotide long non-coding RNA. RefSeq lists it as uncharacterized. The transcript has 3 exons. NCBI's taxonomy places the organism in Eukaryota, Metazoa, Chordata, Amphibia, Anura, Bombinatoridae. The record is from RefSeq and is a predicted model, not a curated record.